GAAUAUUGGACAAUGGGCGAAAGCCUGAUCCAGCAACGCCGCGUGAGGGAUGACGGCCUUCGGGUUGUAAACCUCUUUCAGUAGGGACGAAGCUAACGUGACGGUACCUACAGAAGAAGCACCGGCCAACUACGUGCCAGCAGCCGCGGUAAUACGGAGGGUGCGAGCGUUGUCCGGAAUUAUUGGGCGUAAAGGGCUCGUAGGCGGUUUGUCACGUCGGGAGUGAAAACGCGGGGCUUAACUCCGAGCCUGCUUCCGAUACGGGCUGACUAGAGGUAUGCAGGGGAGAACGGAAUUCCUGGUGUAGCGGUGAAAUGCGCAGAUAUCAGGAGGAACACCGGUGGCGAAGGCGGUUCUCUGGGCAUUACCUGACGCUGAGGAGCGAAAGUGUGGGGAGCGAACAGG
Molecule: ribosomal RNA, 405 nt
Filed under: uncultured bacterium
Lineage: Bacteria
Description: bacterial SSU rRNA
Rfam family: Bacterial small subunit ribosomal RNA
Source: RNAcentral